This 374-nucleotide unclassified non-coding RNA is filed under the name soil metagenome. Its description in RNAcentral is "partial contains internal transcribed spacer 2 and large subunit ribosomal RNA". The stretch from base 1 to 120 matches the Rfam family "5.8S ribosomal RNA", at positions 35 to 154 of the family's 154-position model. The record is from RNAcentral.
GAUGAAGAACGUAGCGAAAUGCGAUAAUUAAUGUGAAUUGCAGAAUUCCGUGAAUAAUCGAGUCUUUGAACGCACAUUGCGCCUCAUGGCAUUCCGUGAGGCAUGCCCAUCUCAGCGUUGGAAAAUAUUCUCAAAUUUUAGUUUUGUGCUAAAAUUUGGAUCAUGUCAAGGAAGCUAUUACUAUUAUUGUGAUCGCUCUUUGGAAAUUGAUAGGUCUUUGAGUUGCUACUCAUAGAACGUGAUGAAUCUUUCUUCGUUCUAUUGUAAUUCACUCUGGUAGUCCUAAAACUUGUAUGCCUGUGGCAUAUCUUGUAAUUUGACCUGAGAUUGGGUAGGGAUACCCGCUGAACUUAAGCAUAUCAAUAAGCGGAGGA